GACAAAGUUAGAAAUGCUCAGACUUUUUUGAAGAGUAAAUCGCUGAUUGAGAAUCACCUCUACAGGCACCAGAAGCCUUCUCAAGUCUCAACACGAUGCUUUUGUAAACGAGAUAUAUGGACGUUUUGGUGCUCUACAAAUUAUAUUUAUUUAUUUUUCAAAAAAAUCACAUUAAAAAUGAAAAGUAAAUUUUCAUACUCAAUCUUUUUGUAUUCAGAUUAAUAUUUAACAAGUUGAAUCAACUCCGUUAUCCGAGCCUGUAACUGAAAUUGGGCCAAAUUCAAAAUUGACCUUGACUGUGACCUGGCUGAACAAUAUGAUUUUAGAGUUUUCUCUGAUAUGCUGUAUUUUUCAAAAAAGUGGUUGCAAUUCUCUUAGAAUAAAGAUAUAGUGGC
This is a long non-coding RNA of Caenorhabditis elegans, 395 nucleotides long. Ensembl annotates it as ncRNA. Its record names the gene linc-61. The record is from Ensembl. Lineage: Eukaryota; Metazoa; Nematoda; Chromadorea; Rhabditida; Rhabditidae.